Molecule: transfer RNA, 67 nt
Filed under: Acanthoparyphium sp. WAK-2018
Lineage: Eukaryota; Metazoa; Platyhelminthes; Trematoda; Plagiorchiida; Himasthlidae
Description: tRNA-Asp
Source: RNAcentral
UUGUUUCUAGUUUAUUAAGAAUGUUAGCUUGUCGUGCUAAAGGUGCAUUUAUUUUUUGCGGAGCAAG